This 467-nucleotide long non-coding RNA is filed under the name Macaca mulatta (Rhesus monkey). RNAcentral's name for it is "lncRNA (ENSMMUG00000043287.2)". Lineage: Eukaryota; Metazoa; Chordata; Mammalia; Primates; Cercopithecidae. The record is from RNAcentral.
GUUGAUCAUGCAAUGGAUCCUUUUGAUGUCUGCAAUAAUAAAACCUAAAGGCAAAGAAGGUUUCCUUCUGCUCUUGUGUACUGAGGUUUCUUCAGCCAUGUCUGAACUCAGAAAUUGCCACUUCAUAUUUUACGGUCAUAUUCAGGUUCCCAGAUUGUAAUGAUGAACAAGAUGUAAUGUAGAUGAAUCAUGUCUAGAACACAAGAAAUGUUCCCCCCAAACAAGAAGGCAACAUCAGACACCUAGAGUUUGUAGUGUGGAGCAUCUAUAAGGUAAACAAACCAACUAAAAACAGAACUUAUAGAUUUACUGUAAUUACAUAUGAAACAUAUGAAAUAGUGCCUGAUAUAUAGUAAGUAUUUGUUUAUUAUUGUUGUUCUUAUUGUUGGUUGUCUUUUAUAACAAUUCGAAGGCAUUUUAAAGUAUCUCUCCCCAGCUAGAUGGACAAUGAUGAGAUAAAGUGGUAA